RNAcentral lists this ribosomal RNA (465 nucleotides) under uncultured bacterium. RNAcentral's name for it is "partial 16S ribosomal RNA". It matches the Rfam family "Bacterial small subunit ribosomal RNA", at positions 28 to 507 of the family's 1533-position model. The record is from RNAcentral.
GACGAACGCUGGCGGCGUGCUUAACACAUGCAAGUCGAACGGAAAGGCCCUGCUUGCAGGGUACUCGAGUGGCGAACGGGUGAGUAACACGUGGGUGAUCUGCCCUGCACUUCGGGAUAAGCCUGGGAAGCUGGGUCUAAUACCGGAUAGGAGCCAUUUUUAGUGUGAUGGUUGGAAAGUUUUUUCGGUGUAGGAUGAGCUCGCGGCCUAUCAGCUUGUUGGUGGGGUAAUGGCCUACCAAGGCGGCGACGGGUAGCCGGCCUGAGAGGGUGGACGGCCACAUUGGGACUGAGAUACGGCCCAGACUCCUACGGGAGGCAGCAGUGGGGAAUAUUGCACAAUGGGCGCAAGCCUGAUGCAGCGACGCCGCGUGGGGGAGGACGGCCUUCGGGUUGUAAACUCCUUUCGCUAGGGACGAAGCUUUUUGUGACGGUACCUAGAUAAGAAGCACCGGCUAACUACGUG